UCACUGCUGAUACAUUUAGCGUAAGUGAGGGCUCUGAGGAGGGGAAUGAUGAAGAUGGGGAUGAUGGGCAACUGGAGUCUGCAAUGGGGGAAACAGGAGCUGACAGUAAAGUCAUUGAUGAGAAGCUUUGGGAUAAGGAGGAAGAUGAAAACCCUAAUAACACAAAUGAAAAGUAUGAAUCUGGGCCACCAGUUAGGGACAGGGAUGCAAGCAUUAGGGAACUGAGAUCCAAGGAGGAUUCUGCUGCUGCUGAUAGCGAUGAUGAAGAACCUGGGGAGCUUAACUCUGAGGAGCUUGAUAAUCAAAUUGAUGAGGUUGGAAACCAAGAUGAUCUUGGUGAUAAAGUAGACAGCAAGGAUGAUGUCCAGUUGGAUCAGCAAGUGAUUCUUCC
This 391-nucleotide unclassified non-coding RNA is filed under the name Hevea brasiliensis (rubber tree). The record is from RNAcentral. Lineage: Eukaryota; Viridiplantae; Streptophyta; Magnoliopsida; Malpighiales; Euphorbiaceae.